Molecule: long non-coding RNA, 321 nt
Filed under: Vigna radiata
Lineage: Eukaryota; Viridiplantae; Streptophyta; Magnoliopsida; Fabales; Fabaceae
Description: long non-coding RNA (VRAD_LNC013207)
Source: RNAcentral
CAAGAUAGUACUUUAUUCUCUUGGAGUAAACAGGAACUUGGUGGAGUACUUUAACUGAAGGCAUAACAAUCACCUAAUUAAAAAUCUCUCUAAAUUGCCCACAAUGAUUUUCUCUCUCUUCUUCUUCACUCUCGUUUUCUCUCUCUUCUUCUUCUUCAAAAUUCUUUUCUUUCCUCUCCUCUUCUUCAUCCUCAUUGUUCUUUAUCUCAAUAAUUUCUUUUUCAACUCCUCUCUCAUGCAUGCUCACCACCAUUUUACACUCCUCUUUAGGGUUAACAUCAGUAUUAGCCCUAAAUUGGUUCUUCUUAGUGACAUCCACCC